CGUGGACAAUAUAGAAGAAAAGGCCACACUUUUAAGCGUAGCUGAUAAGGCAACACUUUUAAGCGUAGACUUUGCUUUUAAGCAUAGCUGAUAAGACAACACUUUUAAGCGUAGGUACAAAAUCUUGACUAUUUUGCCUUUUAGGCUAUGCUUUUAAUCGUAGCUGAUAAGGUAACACUAAAGUGUUGCCUAAACUCUAAGGUAAUGCCUCUUUCAGCCACCCCUGGAAAAGUGUUGCUUAAAGUCUAAAUGUGUAGCCUUUUACCAAAGGCCACACAUUUUGAUUGCUUAGGCUACACUUUACUGACGUUGUCAUAGGCAUAAAAUGUUAUAGUGUGUAAGCCUAAAACUAUACCAUUACAAUAAAAUGCUGAAAUUUUUAUAAUACAACCCCACAACUACAACCUUCUUAAAAUUAUCCCAACCCAACAGUUGAUAAUGCACAUAGCACACAACUUAACAACAACACUCUAAUAUUUCUCAACAACAAGCUCAAUAUUCAUCGAUCAAAGUUCCACAGAAAGACACUCACAAGAUCACAACACACAAUAUAAAGUUUAGCAAUGCUAAAAAUGUGCAAUGCAAUUAAAUGCAAUGUCAAGUAUAGUGAUGCAUGUCCACCCUAACGAUACACACCCGCUGUCUUUUAGUCUGGGACAAAUUGGAGACAUAUCUGUCCAUGUAUCUAUUGUGGCGUGCAAUAUGACCCUCAGUAUAUAGUAUCCAUCAUGGUGUUCAUAGGUUUCUCGAAAUAUAGUUACCACUCGUGACACAUGGUAUGUCCCUCGAAAUAUAGUAUCCACCGCGGCACACCAUAUGUCUGUCAAAAUGAUAUAUCCUCUUGUCACAUAACACUUUUCACAAUCAUAUCUCAAAAUCAAUGUAAAUGAUACGUUCAUAAAAAUAAUGAGAAGAUUACCAUUUUAAUACCAAUGCACACAUCACAACAAUACAACCGUGAUACAACAUAAACAAUUAGAUAAUAAGUCUUUCAAAUCAUUCACAAAACAUCACACACUAAUAAUUAAUAUCAUCAUUACCCACUAAUGAUGUAACCCAAUCAGUAUAUUAUUCAUUGAAAAUCAUUUUUUACUAAAUUACUGCUAACCAUCACUCAUCAGUUAAUUCCUCACCCCUUAUUAUCAUUGGUUAAUGAUUGUGUACAUUAAAACCUUGCCCCAGAUAAACUUUGAAACACUACGGAUUCGUUAACUUUAAAACCUACACUUCUUAUCUAAUCUCUUUUAAUAAGAAUUGAAUUAUAUCUUUUAUAUAUACAGCAGUAAAAUAAUUGUAUGCAGGCACACACAUGAAAAUUUUCUUACCAGGAGGUCGUCCUCUUCAUUGCAGAUGCGGCAAGCACACACUUUUUAGGGUAGUUUUU
RNAcentral lists this long non-coding RNA (1384 nucleotides) under Solanum lycopersicum (tomato). RNAcentral describes it as "long non-coding RNA (SLYC_LNC001027)". Lineage: Eukaryota; Viridiplantae; Streptophyta; Magnoliopsida; Solanales; Solanaceae. The record is from RNAcentral.